CGUAGGUGGCGAACGUUAUCCGGAAUAACUGGGCGUAAAGGGUCCGUAGGCGGCUAAGCAGGUCUGGCGUGAAAGCCCUCGGCUAAACUGAGGGAGUGCGUUGGAAACCGCGUAGCUAGCAUCACGCAGGGGGCUGGUGGAAUUCCCGGUGUAGUGGUGGAAUGCGUAGAGAUCGGGAGGAACCUCUAGAGCGAAGGCAACCGGCUAGGCGAUGAUGGACGCUGAGGGACGAAAGCGUGGGGAGCGAACAGGAUU
This 255-nucleotide ribosomal RNA is filed under the name uncultured bacterium. Its description in RNAcentral is "partial 16S ribosomal RNA". It matches the Rfam family "Bacterial small subunit ribosomal RNA", at positions 526 to 779 of the family's 1533-position model. The record is from RNAcentral.